This 516-nucleotide ribosomal RNA is filed under the name uncultured bacterium. RNAcentral describes it as "bacterial SSU rRNA". It matches the Rfam family "Bacterial small subunit ribosomal RNA", at positions 8 to 490 of the family's 1533-position model. The record is from RNAcentral.
AGAGUUUGAUCCUGGCUCAGGACGAACGCUGGCGGCAUGCCAAAUACAUGCAAGUCGAGCGCAGGAAGCAAAUUGAUUCCUUCGGGAUGAAGUUUGUGGAAUGAGCGGCGGAUGGGUGAGUAACACGUGGGCAACCUGCCUGUAAGAUCGGGAUAACUCCGGGAAACCGGUGCUAAUACUGAAUAAUUCUAAUCAUCACAUGGUGAAUAGAUAAAAGGCGGCUUUCAUUAGCUGUCACUUACAGAUGGGCCCGUGGCGCAUUAGCUAAGUUGGUGGGAUAAUGGCCUACCAAGGCAACGAUGCGUAGCCGACCUGAGAGGGUGAUCGGCCACACUGGGACUGAGACACGGCCCAGACUCCUACGGGAGGCAGCAGUAGGGAAUCUUCCGCAAUGGACGAAAGUCUGACGGAGCAAUGCCGCGUGAGUGAUGAAGGUUUUCGGAUCGUAAAACUCUGUUGUUAGGGAAGAACAAGUAUUGUUCUAACAGGACAGUACCUGACGGUACCUACCAGAAG